Long non-coding RNA from Astatotilapia calliptera (eastern happy), 2317 nucleotides. NCBI's taxonomy places the organism in Eukaryota, Metazoa, Chordata, Actinopteri, Cichliformes, Cichlidae. The record is from Ensembl.
UGAAAACAUUGCUUUGGAGCAAUGAAACUCAAACACAUUCAUUUUUAAAAUGCCUCAAAAUGAAAUUUUGAAAUAUUUGGCUUUAUGCUUUGAAAGUGCCGUUGUGAGUGGGAGUGUGAAAUCCUUACUUGAUGUGUUCCCUUUGCCUUUACUGUUUUCAGUUUUAUUUGUCAUAUGCAAGUUAGCACAGGGUCAACAUUGCAAUGAAAUGUGUUUGACGAGCAGCAGUCACUCAGCAGCAUGGUACAGUAGAAAUAUAAUAAAAUAUAAUAAAAUAAAAAAUAGAAAAAUAGUAAAGAGCAAAAUAUUAGAGAGACGUGGUAAAAGAGAAAAGAUGACUAAAUAUAUAUGUAUCUAUAAAUAUAAAUAUAUGUACACUAGUGAUUAAAUAAGAAAAUCUUGAAAAGAAAUAUGACGGGAGGCCAAAUGGGAUGUUGCACAGGAAUGAGCAGCAGAAAAUUACAGUAUUACUCAGACUUUUAAUAGUCAUAUUGUCAGUUUUGGCCGACGGUCAUGGGUCACUUCCACUAAAAUAGCACGAGACUGGAGUAAAAUGUACUUUAUUAAUGAGAACACAUGGUGAUACAGCAAAGAAUCCAACCCUUCUGAAAAGCAAAUGGCUUCCUGUUAUACUCUACCUGAUUCAGGUGAGCAUCUGGAAUAGACCAAGUCUGGGGGUCAGCAAACCAAAGGAAAACAAAACCCUCCCCAUAAGAAAACCACUACAAUAUAACCAACACGUUCUCACUCCCAAAGCGUAACAUUUUACGCUAGGUGACAAAUCGUCACCAUAUUACGUUUUUGGCUACCCACCACGUUCCUAAAUGACGACCUCGGAAAAAAGAGGAAAUAUGAGAACCGUCUGGACUGAAUCUACACAUGUUUGCUCUUUUUCUUCAAAUCGCUUAGAAACACGCUAUUUAACAUCAUUAAAGUCCUGGUUAAGGUCAGGAAUAAGGUUAUGGUCAGGGCUAGGGAUAAGGUUAGGUUUAGGGCUGGAAUACAGGGCUGGAACGUCUAUUACCGCGGGAGCGUCAUUGCACUGGAUUCCAGCCAUAGCCCGCCGCGUACAAUAAGAACGCCGAAGGUCUCCUUUCGCGUUCCUCAGGAACGCUGCGGGACGUGACAAAACGUCGACAUGUUACGCCUCGGGAGUGAGAAUGGGCUGAUAUAGCACAUCAUAGACAUAUGAAGAUUUGGAACAAGUCCUAUAAAUAAUUCAUUAACAUAUAAACUUCAGUCUCUUCUAUAUACAUUAAAACAGCGGUCCCCAACCUUUUUUGCGCCACGGACCGGUUUAUGCCCGACAAUAUUUUUAUGGACCGGCCUUUAAGGUGUCACAGAUAAAUACAACAAAAUAAAACUAGUACCGGUACCGGAAAAAAAGAUUUAUUCAUAACACACGUGAAAGACCCAGGAAAACAGAGUUAACGAUAAAAACGAUAACAAAAUAACGAUAAAAACUCUGAAAACCAUACAUUUCACACCCGAGCCUCAUCUCUCGACCAAACGACGGUCCGUGGCCCGGCGGUUGGGGACCGCUGCAUUAAAACACCUUAACCACACAGUUAGGUUUCAGCCCUCGCUGACUCAGAACAAAGUAAGACAAUCAGAGUUCGAUUGGUUUUUACUUGUGCAGGGGAAGCCUGGUCAGAUUCUCAGAGUUGCAAGCUCUACACCCAAACUCAGACAACUCCAACUCCAGCCUUUUAUUGAAUGAAAACAGUUACACAACCGCCCAUUGUAAACCCCAUAUGUUGUGUGGUAAAAGCUAAGGCACUGUGUGUGUGUGUGUGUGUAUACGUGACUUCCUGGUUACAAACGUUUUAACCACAUCUCUAGUCAUAAAAGGGUAUCUCCCCUCAACCUCGUAUAUGGCUUAACCUCUUUAACAGUCCACCAUUUACAUGGUGAGCCCAUACUGUAAAGGGCAGGAAGUGAACAUUCCUUACCAAAUAAGGAAACCAGAAUCUUACAUAGAUUGGGCCUGCAGUUGAAAACUAUAGCUAGUAACAUCCCCAACAUCCUACAUGUGGGGGAGGAACAGAAAAAUAUCUGAACAUACAGUUCAAGACAAGGUCCAAGCACAAUAAUGACAACUUUUAACAAAAUCACUCCAACACACACUCCCCUAGCCUGGCACAUUGGUUUGCUCCAGGAGCUCAUAAGCAGGUGAUUGAGCUGCUUUUACUCUUUACAAAGUGAGUACUGUUAACACUUCUCUUUUUACAUAUACAACUAAUUUAGGUUACAGACAAAUGUUUAAAUGUGAACAGCUCUAACACGGGUUCUUUUCCUGACACAGGUAGGAUGGCCA